AUUCUUAGCAGGAGGAAAGAGUGUGUCAUUUGGAUUCUAUAGAACCCAUUUCACUCUCCAUUUGUACUUGCAGAUCCAGCUUCAACACAAUUUUCUUAUGUUCUGAAAGUUCAAGCACAAGCACUUGGGGGUAGUUGGCUGUGUGUUUGUGCCUUGGGUUUUCUAAGACUAACCACCCAGUGAAUUCUGUAAAACCCUGUUAAAUGAUGUUCC
This 213-nucleotide long non-coding RNA is filed under the name Homo sapiens (human). Its description in RNAcentral is "HSALNT0131081". The record is from RNAcentral. Lineage: Eukaryota; Metazoa; Chordata; Mammalia; Primates; Hominidae.